Molecule: non-coding RNA, 28 nt
Filed under: Rattus norvegicus (Norway rat)
Lineage: Eukaryota; Metazoa; Chordata; Mammalia; Rodentia; Muridae
Source: RNAcentral
UCUUUAUGUCUUGUGUUUUGAAUGGAAC